UGGCAGUAUCAGGAACGCAAGAAUUGCGUACCAACCGAGCAAAAAAGCUACGGUGGUUUAGUAUACGGACAGUUCUGUCAAAAUAAAUGAACAUCCA
This is a non-coding RNA of Polaribacter sp. MED152, 97 nucleotides long. The record is from Rfam. NCBI's taxonomy places the organism in Bacteria, Pseudomonadati, Bacteroidota, Flavobacteriia, Flavobacteriales, Flavobacteriaceae.